AGUCUCAGCACUCCUGCGGCGACCAGCUGCAAGCCUGCGCCGGCUGCCACGGGCGCCUGUGCACCGCUGCCGGAGGAGCUCAUCUUCGACGUCCUUUCCAGGGUGCCGGUGAAGUCCGCGUGCCGCUUCCAGUGCGCGUCAAGAGCGUGGCACACGCUCAUCUCCGAUCAGGCCUUCCUCGCCACUCACAGAUCACGCCACGCCGAGCCGCUCCUCGUCACCAUCACCUCCUCCUCGGAGCACGCCGGCGGAGGCCGUGAUCUGCGCCUGAUGGACAUGGAUGGCAAUGUUGUGACGGUGACCAAGGACGCAGGUGGCCUUACGUUACUCUCCGCAAGCAUGGAUGAGCUAGUCGGCGUCGCGGAAGUUUCUUCCUGUCGCGUGAUCGACCCUGCCACCGGGAAGGUGCUCGCCAAUUCCUCGCCGAGACAAAUGUUCGGGUUCUACAUCAUGCUUGCUUUCGGUCGCGCCAUCCCGUCCGGUGAGUACAAGAUGGUACGCCUCGUGAACAACCAGACCUUCGAGGUCUUCACUCUAGGAGGCAACGCGGGGUGGAGGAGGUCGAAGCUGCCCCCAAUUCGCGUCAAUGGAAGCUCUCAUGUCACCGCCAAUGGCGUCAUGUACUUCAUGGUCUCAAGGAAGCUAGACGAUGACGGCUUACUUCGCUUUGACCUCGAGAGCGAAGAGUGGAAGCCGGCCAUAAAAGGCCCGCCGAUAACAUCAAGCCCCGAGGCGUGGUGGAAUGGUACACAAUCGGUCCGCAUAGCGGAGCUCAACGGCUUCUUGUGUGUGAUUCAAUCGGAGAUGCAAGCAACGAGUAAUCACAACUGCACCAACGUAUGGCUCCGUGUUGAUGACUCUUGGAUCAAAGCGUACUCGAUCCCGGCAGCCCCUUCGUCCUAUUAUUACAUGCCACUGAGGGUGACACAUGAUGGUGGCAAGUUGAUAUUCUACUGUUUUUUCCAUGGACAAGGACACUUGCUUCGAGCCUACGAUCCUGCCACUAACACA
This 1011-nucleotide ribosomal RNA is filed under the name Triticum aestivum (bread wheat). Its description in RNAcentral is "partial small subunit ribosomal RNA". Lineage: Eukaryota; Viridiplantae; Streptophyta; Magnoliopsida; Poales; Poaceae. The record is from RNAcentral.